Dermacentor andersoni is the source of this 1037-nucleotide long non-coding RNA. RefSeq lists it as uncharacterized. Lineage: Eukaryota; Metazoa; Arthropoda; Arachnida; Ixodida; Ixodidae. The record is from RefSeq and is a predicted model, not a curated record.
UCCUUCCUUCCGGUAGCCGAACCCAUCCAAUAUUACUAUCGAACGAUGGCGACCGCCGCUGGUAUCGACUCACCACCCACGCCACUACCACAGGCCAAGAAGUGUGCGUGCGCGCGCUCCGACGGCGAUAACGUUAUUUAUUCAUGUCUAAUAGAAAAGGGAGCGUUAAUUAUAGCGCGACGUGUGCGCCGUUUCCAUGGUAACGGCGAUUCACUUCGCUGUACGGUGAUUAUGCCACAAAAGCGUAUGCUUGAAGUUGAAAUACAAUAAAGCAGGAUAUCACGGCGUAGCAUUGCGGCUGCCGUCGGGCAAGAAGCUCGCAUUCGCCGCGGGAUACGUCACUAACUAUGGCAUUAUUGUCUUCCAUCCUUUCCAGGUGUAGUGUGCUGCCAGGCUGCUCAGUGCGCCAGACAGGAUCAUACAGGCUUUGGUUGGCGUGUGGAUUUCCUGACAGUCUGGUGCAUUUCCGUAACACUGCAGACACCAACGGUGCUCGGGGUUACGACCAGCGUCUGCCGCCGACGCAAGGAAGCUGCUGAUUGAUACCGCCAAGCAACCAGAUCGCUAUCGGAAGCUGUCGCGCCAAAGAGGAAGAAUGAGACGUACUGGCCUAUGCGGGUAUACGGCGGAACAGAAAUAAAUCGUCGCGCCUGGCGCAGGUAUAGACGCAUAUAUCGCGGCCUCCUUGGGGAAGCUUCAUCGUGCAAAGACAAAGGCACACGCGCAGUGCACGGACAGCCUCUCCGCCGGCCGCAAGACCGUUGUAUAUGGCGUGCGGGCAUAUUGGCGGCGAUGCUUUGGCUACGCUGUCCAGGUGGUGGUGCUGCAUAUGCGUUUGUGCCAUUCGUGUAGCUUUGCCUCCGCUGUGGCGCGCUCCUUUAUUUGUUCGCGCUGCCACCGUUUACAUGGAACAAAAUAUCCGCUGAGCUCAUGACGUUGUUUCCCGUUGCAUUGUUAGAGAGGGAAUACUAUUGCAAUCAAACUAGCCGCACAAAGAAAGAAAGAAAGAAAGAAAGAAAGAAAGAAAGAAAGAAAGA